This 385-nucleotide ribosomal RNA is filed under the name uncultured bacterium. Its description in RNAcentral is "bacterial SSU rRNA". It matches the Rfam family "Bacterial small subunit ribosomal RNA", at positions 996 to 1398 of the family's 1533-position model. The record is from RNAcentral.
CUGAAGCGAAAGCGGAAGGACCUUCGGGAGCCGUCACAGGUGCUGCAUGGCUGUCGUCAGCUCGUGCCGUGAGGUGUUGGGUUAAGUCCCGCAACGAGCGCAACCCUCGUCGUUAGUUACACUCACUAGCGAGACAGCCUCCCGCAAGGAGGAGGAAGGUGGGGACGACGUCAAGUCAUCAUGGCCCUUAUGUCCAGGGCUACACACACGCUACAAUGGCCGGUACAAUGGGUUGCUAAAGCGCGAGCUGGAGCCAAUCCCACCAAAGCCGGCCCCAGUUGGGAUUGCAGGCUGAAACCCGCCUGCAUGAACGCGGAAUCGCUAGUAACCGCAGGUCAGCAUACUGCGGUGAAUACGUUCCCGGGCCUUGUACACACCGCCCGUA